This is a long non-coding RNA of Hippocampus zosterae (dwarf seahorse), 1775 nucleotides long. RefSeq lists it as uncharacterized. Lineage: Eukaryota; Metazoa; Chordata; Actinopteri; Syngnathiformes; Syngnathidae. The transcript has 4 exons. The record is from RefSeq and is a predicted model, not a curated record.
CCAAAUUGGAGUAGUUUCCAUCGAUUGUCUCUGAAAGAUAAUCCUGUGUGAUUAUCUGGUAGUUUGAGGUGUGUUAAGAGUGAUUUUUUCUCCUCGAUCUGCUCAGUUCGUGGUCGGUCUGACAAACGUAGAAAUUAGAGUCGUUCAUUAUUUUGGGUGGAAAAUCCUGAAUUGUAUGGUCAACAUCAAGUCGGGUCAAGCCACAGUCUUUACGAUUGUGGUGUGAAACGUAACGAUACCCCAUUCGGAAGGGACCUGAAGGUCGUGCUGCCCAGCACUUAAGCAACUGAUUGUGUUGCAUAUAUCAGUCUGGUGUCACAUUUGAGGCCCAUGCACCACAUCCGGCUCUCUAGUUCAUUUUAUAUGACCAGUGAAAGUUUCCCACAAUUAUUCUUUGACUUGUGUUCAAAACUAGCUAUAAAAAUGAUAAUGAUCAAAUGGGCAGGGUCCCACAUGGUACAUAUUAGGUGAGGGGGGAAAAAAGCAUAACUGUGUCGUGGUGUAGCCACGCGCCCUGUCCCUAAAUCAGGAGUUACCAAAUUUUCUGAAACUAAGAUUCACUUGGUUACUGCUUUAAACCAAGGACCAACAAACUUAACCGUCAUUCUUGCCAUACUGUUGCACCUCUAGUGAUCAUCAGGGCAAUAAUAGUUGUGUAUUUUUAAUUGUUAGUAGUUUUUAAAUUCAGUUAGUAUUCAGUAGGUUUUGGACCAGGCGUGUCAGUUUUUUCAAAAAAAUGCUUUGUAUUAAUGUUAUUUUUAUUAGUUUUAUUAUUGGUUUUAGUUUUUUUGAAGUCUACGGAUUAUUUAUUAAAUACAAUCUCAGAAAAAAGGUCACAAAGUGUAAUGAAGUAAACUACACUUCUAAACAACUGUUUAACCUCCUUUCUUCGGUAUGGAUGUUUAGCAAUUCGAAAUCAAUACAUUUAAAAUGGACCAUGAACGUUCAUGCAUGAUAUUAAUUGACAAACGCCAUUUUUGCUGUAAUUAUCGCUUCGUGUGUAUGUAGCUGUGUGCGUGCACACCCCACUUUACACCUUCUACUGUGAUUUGCAAAGAGCCCUUUUAAAUCCAAUCCAAGCAGAAUAUGAUACGAAUAUGUCCGGAACACGUGCAUCCUUUGGAGUAAAAGGUCCAGUGCGGUGUCGCUCAUCUGGACCCCAUCAGGUUGCAUGUCCGCAGGCGAUCAGACUGGCAUCCCUGUACCAGGCCUGCUCCUUUAUUAAAGCCUCAGCCUCCUGUGACCCGGCACACACAGAGUGGGCCUCGGGGUACGCUCACACAUGGUUCCCAUAGGUCAUUUGGCUUGUUUGUGACUUGCGCGUUUGAUUCUCUCGCAGACCACAUGUGGAUUGGGAGUCGAAGAAACAAGGCGCAAGGGGCCGUUCCCCACAAAACAUCUGCUUAAUGAUAGCGUACCCAAGGGGAGGGGCGAGCGCUGAGGGGGCUCGGCAAAAGUCGAGACACACGACUAGAACAAGCCCGCCUUGCAUGUUUUUAGAAUGUGGGAAGAAAUCGGAGCACCCGGAGAAAACCCACGCAGGCAUGGGGAGAACAUGCAAAGUCCACACAAGGAGGCCAUAGCCGGGAUUUGGAGGACAACACACGUGUGCUGACGUGGAGAAGAAUUUGCUCCUUGGCCUCUCCAGAAAUCCUGCAAAACUUCCUUCAGGUAAGGACAUGGUACCAGAAUUCCUCACAUCCAAGACUUGACAAAGAGGAAGAGGAAGAGGAAGGCUCAAUGUGUGCCCCCACUGGACCCGCUGCCUCAGUACC